This is a long non-coding RNA of Vollenhovia emeryi, 2478 nucleotides long. RefSeq lists it as uncharacterized. The transcript has 2 exons. The record is from RefSeq and is a predicted model, not a curated record. Lineage: Eukaryota; Metazoa; Arthropoda; Insecta; Hymenoptera; Formicidae.
UUCUUAUGCUCGCGCGUCACGCGCGACGUCUUUCGUCGGUCUUAUCCAUGCUUUUAGAACGCUCCCCUCUGCUCCUCUCCCUCUGUAUUUUUAGGUUUCUGCCGCUCUACCCGUCUCUGUCUAACCUCGGCGGGCCAACUCAGCGGCAGGUGUCACGGUACCGCGCGCGCGGAGGUUUAUCCCAUGGUGGACAUGCACCAGCGGCUGGACAUGAUUGACACAGUCCACCAUUCCGCCCGGUACGUACCGGACGACGCGCGGAGAAACCAAAGAGCCGCCAUGGUCCAGUCCCCUGCAUAAUACAGGAUUUCGUAUCAAUUCCCGCAGCGUGAGCAUGCUUCUCACGCUGGGGUGGCUACACCGAUCGGGGGAUGUGGGACUUGGAACGAUACACGAGUGGCUCAAGAUAUUGAUGCGCAGAUAUAUGCGUGUGCAAGUGCUAUAACACGGCACCCUAAUCGGGCUUAAUAACAUCUGUAGUUACAAAACUGGCCAAUCACAACUAUUCCUCAGAAGAAUGGAAUGACUGUGGUUUGGCCAGCCCUUAACUACGGAUGUUAUUAAAUCCGAUUAAGCGCUCCGUGCAAAACAGCACUCUGUGACUACGUUUACACGCGACCCUUAAUCGUGUUUAACAACAUCUGUAGUCAUAAAAUUGGCCAAUCACAACUAAUCCUUAGAAGAAUGGAGUGACUGUGAUUGGUCAGCCCCUUAACUACAGUUGUUAUCAAAUCCGAUUAGAGUGCCGUGUAAACAUAGUCUGUGAUACUUAAACCAGAGACCAUCGAGUAACGGGACGUAGACGGGCGACGAAAGAGAAUAGACAGAAGCCUAUAUUCUUUUACCGAUAAAAGCGCUCAUAAAAGAUACCUUCAGCUAAUAAGAAUCCUUUCUGACUAAUUUUAGUAGCUAAACUUUUUAACGAUAGAAGAUUGAUAAUGUAGACCAAAAGGAGACGAUGCAGUGUCGUCUUGAGCGGAUUCUUAUUACAGAUCUCGUGUGCCUCUUGGCACGAGCGAGUUUCACCUGUUUGCUUGUCGAAUGUAUCGCACACAAAGUGCGGACAGACGUGAAAGCUCUAUGCUAAACUUUGUGUUCUAGGCAACUAAAUGAGAAGCGCUAAUACUCCUAUUUGUCUUUUGGGCACUGCGACAAUGACAAAUCUGCGUAUAGAGGAAAGUCCUUUAUUAUGAGAUAGGAUUCUAAUAUGAGAUAGGUUUUCAACGUCCUACUUCCAUCGCAAACCUUUUCUCGCAACGAUUACAUGAUCCAACAAUCAGAUUUCACCCCAAGUGCAAUAAAUUCAUGGUGGAAACCAACGGAUGAUGCUUAUUAAUUUAGCAAAAACUCCGCUGUCUCAUAUCAGGAGCCUAUGAUAGGGGAUUUUCCUCUAUUAAACAGUUUAAUGCAGCUAUCUUUGUAGAUUCUCAAUAUCAAUUAUCAGUGGAGUAUAUUUGAAGUCACCAGUGAUGAAUAAAUAAGAACAGAACUUUUUUUUAUCCAACUGGCAAUAUAUUGCCAAUUGGAUCGACAAAAAAUUCUGUUCUUAAUAUCAAUUAUGUAUAGACGUGAUAUUAUUUAGAAAUGUGAAAAAAAUUUAAAUUGGGCACGCAAUUUAUUUGCGACUCUUGCAACCCGCAGAAAUUUGAUGUCUUGCUCCUUUAUGUAUACAUGUACUCUACUUUUUUGUUAUAUUUUAGCUAGUAAAUUUGUUAUGGUAUUAAUCCUUUGGAUUUAUCUCCAUAACACGAAUAAUGAUGAAAAUUUUAUUAAAUUUCAGUAAUCUUCUCAUUGAACUAAAUUGUUAGAAGACGAAAAGUCUGCUAAGUUCGUUAAAUCAACAUUGUAAAUAUCCUAAUAAAAUAAAUUAUUUUAUAUGUAAAAACAUACUUGUAUUUUCUCUUUAUGUUACAAAUGGCUAUUUUUUAAAUCUAAUUUUGUGAAAGCUUCGACUGAUAUGAAUAUUAAUUGAGCUUGAGAAAUUAUUUUCUGCUAUUUUUGUAUCUGUGUUCUCUCCUUUAAUUUAAAAAAAAUCGAGAAAACUUUUUGUUUUAUGUUGCCAUCAAUUGGUUUGGUCAAAAAUCCUUCAUAAAGUUUAGUCUACAGAGAUAGUACUGCAAGUUUAGUCUACAGAGAUAGUACUGCAAGCAAAUCAACAGAGAUUGGUAUAGCAGAUGGUUUUUUUCCCGCAAUUCAUAACCGAUGAUCCCUCUUCUCAGUAUCACAUCACGCCGCAUAUAUCUAUCGAAUCACGUACAAUAUUUCAAAAUUGCUGUCAAAAAUAUUGUGUAUAUUACGUUCGUAAUUUUACACGGAAAAAAAAGUCUGUAUAGUUAGUAUUCAGUUCUCUACACUCAAAAUUGAAUAUUUCAAUUGAAAAUAUUCUGUUGAGUUUAGUAUAUUAAUAUUCAAUCAUUUAUGGUAUACGCAAUAUUGUAAGACUCCAAACUUUAUGUAAUGAAUAAAGAAAUUAUAACC